CCUACGGGGAGCAGCAGUGGGGAAUAUUGGACAAUGGGCGAAAGCCUGAUCCAGCCAUGCCGCGUGUGUGAAGAAGGCCUUCGGGUUGUAAAGCACUUUCAGUGGGGAAGAAAGCCUUGGGGCUAAUACCCUCGAGGAAGGACAUCACCCACAGAAGAAGCACCGGCUAACUCCGUGCCAGCAGCCGCGGUAAUACGGAGGGUGCGAGCGUUAAUCGGAAUUACUGGGCGUAAAGCGCGCGUAGGCGGUCUGAUAAGCCGGUUGUGAAAGCCCCGGGCUCAACCUGGGAACGGCAUCCGGAACUGUCAGGCUAGAGUGCAGGAGAGGAAGGUAGAAUUCCCGGUGAAGCGGUGAAAUGCGUAGAGAUCGGGAGGAAUACCAGUGGCGAAGGCGGCCUUCUGGACUGACACUGACGCUGAGGUGCGAAAGCGUGGGUAGCAAACAGGAUUAGAUACCCUAGUAGUC
Molecule: ribosomal RNA, 465 nt
Filed under: Vreelandella stevensii
Lineage: Bacteria; Pseudomonadati; Pseudomonadota; Gammaproteobacteria; Oceanospirillales; Halomonadaceae
Description: partial 16S ribosomal RNA
Rfam family: Bacterial small subunit ribosomal RNA
Source: RNAcentral